GAAAUGCGAAACGUAAUGUGAAUUGCAUCCUUGUGUAUCAUCGAAUCUUUGAACGCAGUGUGCGCCCGGCCUCAUGUGCCGGGCACGCUUGUCUGAGCAAGGGUUUCUUUUUUUUAUUGGUGGUCCAGCAAUUUUUGCUCGUCCACUCAAAACGACUGCAGCUUGCGCACUAGGAAACUUUGUUUCUAUCGUCGCAAACAAGAAAAGCAGGAAAACCCAACUUUAAUCUCCUUCUCAGAUCAAGCGAGACCACCCGCUGAACUUAA
Molecule: unclassified non-coding RNA, 266 nt
Filed under: uncultured fungus
Lineage: Eukaryota; Fungi
Description: sequence contains ITS1
Rfam family: 5.8S ribosomal RNA (bases 1-102)
Source: RNAcentral